ACGAGUCCCAAACAGGACGAAACGCGCGUCCUGGAU
Non-coding RNA from Schistosoma mattheei, 36 nucleotides. The record is from Rfam. NCBI's taxonomy places the organism in Eukaryota, Metazoa, Platyhelminthes, Trematoda, Strigeidida, Schistosomatidae.